This 390-nucleotide transfer-messenger RNA is filed under the name Geminocystaceae. RNAcentral describes it as "Geminocystis sp001548115 Standard tmRNA". It matches the Rfam family "transfer-messenger RNA". Rfam says of the family: Bacterial tmRNA, also known as 10Sa RNA or SsrA, is named for its dual tRNA and mRNA-like properties. Its role is to liberate the mRNA from a stalled ribosome. To accomplish this part of the tmRNA is used as a reading frame that ends in a translation stop signal. The record is from RNAcentral. Lineage: Bacteria; Bacillati; Cyanobacteriota; Cyanophyceae; Chroococcales.
GGGGCUGUAACGGUUUCGACAGGCUGGUGAAAGCUGACCCGUGAUGCAGGUCGAGAGUGAGUCUUCUCUCGGAAAUACCGGACUCGAAAAAAUAGUAACUGCGAACAACAUCGUUCCUUUUGCUCGUAAAGCUGCACCUGUUGCUGCCUAAGACCUAAUAAAUUGGUUCGAGCGCUUAUAUUGUGACUCCGUUAAGCAUUAUAGGCAACCCUCAACGGAUGCUCUCUGAGAAGGCUUCUAGUCUAACCCAGAGUUAAGAAAAUACUAGAAAAUCCUAUUGUCAGGGAUAAGUGACAAUUCCCGUCUGAGGAUCAGAAGGACUAAACCUGUGAACGAACGAUAGGUAAAUAACCGGUUUGGACAGCAGUUCGACUCUGCUCAGCUCCAUUU